UUUCCGUAGGUGAACCUGCGGAAGGAUCAUUACUGAAGUGAGUCUUCAUCAUUGAAGCUUCUUCCCCUUGUGCUGGCUUUGACCGUAUGUAAUGUUGGGGAUUAAACAUGGUUGGAAUUUUUUUUAGCCGUCCCCAACAAUUUAUCUUAUCCUUUAUUAAAUUGAACUAAACUCAUUUUGAGAUUACAUAAAAAAUAAUCUUUUAAUACAACUUUCAACAACGGAUCUCUUGGUUCUC
This 238-nucleotide unclassified non-coding RNA is filed under the name plant metagenome. RNAcentral's name for it is "partial contains small subunit ribosomal RNA, internal transcribed spacer 1, and 5.8S ribosomal RNA". The record is from RNAcentral.